UCCCAGACAGUCCAGUGGUUAGGACUGAGCACUUUCACUGCUGUGUCCCAGGUUCAGUUCCUGAUCCUGGAA
Ovis aries (sheep) is the source of this 72-nucleotide transfer RNA. It matches the Rfam family "tRNA". From Rfam's summary of the family: Transfer RNA (tRNA) molecules are approximately 80 nucleotides in length. Their secondary structure includes four short double-helical elements and three loops (D, anti-codon, and T loops). Further hydrogen bonds mediate the characteristic L-shaped molecular structure. tRNAs have two regions of fundamental functional importance: the anti-codon, which is responsible for specific mRNA codon recognition, and the 3' end, to which the tRNAs corresponding amino acid is attached (by aminoacyl-tRNA synthetases). tRNAs cope with the degeneracy of the genetic code in two manners: having more than one tRNA (with a specific anti-codon) for a particular amino acid; and 'wobble' base-pairing, i.e. permitting non-standard base-pairing at the 3rd anti-codon position. Lineage: Eukaryota; Metazoa; Chordata; Mammalia; Artiodactyla; Bovidae. The record is from Rfam.